AGCGAACGCUGGCGGCAUGCCUAACACAUGCAAGUCGAACGAGAUAGGCGUAGCAAUACGCCGUGUAAAGUGGCGAACGGGUGAGUAACACAUGGGUAAUCUACCCUUUUGAUUGGGACAACCCCGCGAAAGCGGGGCUAAUACCAGAUAUGACCACGACUCCUGCGGGAGUUGAGGUAAAAGAUGGCCUCUCCAUGGAAGCUAUCACAAAAGGAUGAGCCCGUGUCCCAUCAGCUAGUUGGUAGGGUAACGGCCUACCAAGGCUAUGACGGGUAGCUGGUCUGAGAGGACGAUCAGCCACACUGGAACUGAAACACGGUCCAGACUCCUACGGGAGGCAGCAGUGGGGAAUAUUGCGCAAUGGACGAAAGUCUGACGCAGCAAUGCCGCGUGAGUGAUGAAGGCCUUCGGGUCGUAAAGCUCUGUCUAGGGAGAAGAAACAUCAUUUUUCUAAUAGGAAUUUGAUUUGACGGUAUCUCUGGAGGAAGCACCGGCUAACUCCGUGCCAGCCGCCGCCGUAA
This 521-nucleotide ribosomal RNA is filed under the name uncultured bacterium. RNAcentral describes it as "partial 16S ribosomal RNA". It matches the Rfam family "Bacterial small subunit ribosomal RNA", at positions 29 to 523 of the family's 1533-position model. The record is from RNAcentral.